AGUGAACGCUGGCGGUAGGCCUAACACAUGCAAGUCGAACGGCAGCACAGUAAGAGCUUGCUCUUACGGGUGGCGAGUGGCGGACGGGGGAGGGAUACAUCGGAAUCUACUUUUUCGUGGGGGAGAACGUAGGGAAACUUACGCUAAUACCGCAUACGACCUACGGGUGAAAGCAGCGGAUCUUCGGACCUUGCGCGAUUGAAUGAGCCGAUGUCGGAUUAGCUAGUUGGCGGGGUAAAGGCCCACCAAGGCGACGAUCCGUAGCUGGUCUGAGAGGAUGAUCAGUCACACUGGAACUGAGACACGGUCCAGACUCCUACGGGAGGCAGCAGUGGGGAAUAUUGGACAAUGGGCGCAAGCCUGAUCCAGCCAUACCGCGUGUGUGAAGAAGGCCUUCGGGUUGUAAAGCCCUUUUGUUGGGAAAGAAAAGCAGCAGGUUAAUACCCCGCUGUUCUGACGGUACCAAAAGAAUAAGCACCGGCUAACUUCGUG
This 492-nucleotide ribosomal RNA is filed under the name uncultured bacterium. RNAcentral's name for it is "partial 16S ribosomal RNA". It matches the Rfam family "Bacterial small subunit ribosomal RNA", at positions 29 to 507 of the family's 1533-position model. The record is from RNAcentral.